GAUGAAGAACGCAGCGAAAUGCGAUAAGUAGUGUGAAUUGCAGAAUUCAGUGAAUCGUCGAAUCUUUGAACGCACAUUGCGCCCUUUGGUAUUCCUUAGGGCAUGCCUGUUCGAGCGUCAUUUAAACCUUCAAGCUCAGCUUGGUGUUGGGUGACUGUCCGCUUCACCGCGGACUCGCCUCAAAAUUAUUGGCGGCCGGUACAUUGGCUUCGAGCGCAGCAGAAACGCGAACUCGGGCCCGUCGUAUUGGCUCCCAGAAGCUAUCUUCACAAUUUUGACCUCGGAUCAGGUAGGGAUACCCGCUGAACUUAAGCAUAUCAAUAAGCGGAGGA
Molecule: unclassified non-coding RNA, 332 nt
Filed under: soil metagenome
Description: partial contains 5.8S ribosomal RNA, internal transcribed spacer 2, and large subunit ribosomal RNA
Rfam family: 5.8S ribosomal RNA (bases 1-120)
Source: RNAcentral